UUUUUUUCCUUCCUUUCCUUUUAUUUUUUCUUAUUCUUUCCUUUCUUUAUCAUUUUUCCUUCAUUCUCUUCUCUUAUAACAAACCCUAGUCCUUGCUUGCUCUAAUGUCAUCAUCACGGGCCAAAUCCACAACCAAUUGAAAGCUCUCAUUAUCUCUUUUUCAUUUGCAUGUUAGGAUUCUCUUGAAAUCAUCUCUCUAUCAC
Molecule: long non-coding RNA, 203 nt
Filed under: Gossypium raimondii (Peruvian cotton)
Lineage: Eukaryota; Viridiplantae; Streptophyta; Magnoliopsida; Malvales; Malvaceae
Description: long non-coding RNA (GRAI_LNC006638)
Source: RNAcentral